Molecule: ribosomal RNA, 484 nt
Filed under: uncultured bacterium
Lineage: Bacteria
Description: bacterial SSU rRNA
Rfam family: Bacterial small subunit ribosomal RNA
Source: RNAcentral
GAUUAACGCUAGCGGCAGGCCUAAUACAUGCAAGUUGAACGGGAUUUCGGGUAGCAAUAUCUGGAUGAGAGUAGCGCACGGGUGCGUAACACGUAUGCAACCUACCUAUAACUGGGGGAUAGCCUCCCGAAAGGGAGAUUAAUACCGCAUAACAUUAUGAAGUGGCAUCACUUUAUAAUUAAACCUCAGGGGGUUAUAGAUGGGCAUGCGUCCGAUUAGCUAGUUGGUGAGGUAACGGCUCACCAAGGCUCCGAUCGGUAGGGGGUCUGAGAGGAUGAUCCCCCACACUGGUACUGAGACACGGACCAGACUCCUACGGGAGGCAGCAGUAAGGAAUAUUGGACAAUGGGCGCAAGCCUGAUCCAGCCAUGCCGCGUGAAGGAUGAAGGCCCUAUGGGUCGUAAACUUCUUUUAUACGGGACAAAACCCCCCGACGUGUCGGGGGUUGAUGGUACUGUAAGAAUAAGGGUCGGCUAACCUCGUG